Pezoporus occidentalis (night parrot) is the source of this 1419-nucleotide long non-coding RNA. RefSeq lists it as uncharacterized. The record is from RefSeq and is a predicted model, not a curated record. The transcript is spliced from 2 exons. Lineage: Eukaryota; Metazoa; Chordata; Aves; Psittaciformes; Psittacidae.
CUCAGGUGCCACAGCACACCUCAGUAUGCAGGUCCAUCGCCAUCUCUAGGGAGCUUUCUUCCUGAACAAAGUUGAAUGAAGGUGGUAACGUCUGAGCAGAGUUAACGUGGAGGACAGCAUAGAGCUCUAUCUGGCUGGGCCAAUUGACUAAACUUCAGAAUGAACACACUAGGCUGAAAAUUACUUCCAGGCUCUCCAAGAAUCAGGUGGCUCCAGAGCAUCAAGGAGACUCUGGCUAGGACUGAGUCAGCAGAAGCACCAGCAUUUCUUCCUGGGGGAACUGCAGCUGCAAAGCAGAACACGAAAACAAAACCACCAACAAUAGCAGCUUCCAUGUCAGCCAGAUGAGUAAUAGGAACAUUUCCACAGCAACAGGGCUCUGUCUUCAUUCAGAGGGUCCAAGAAAUGUGAUAUCCAACAGGUCUCCAUAGCUACCAUGCAAUACCUUUGCUGCUUGGUGGUGGUCUACAGACAACUGAAAAGGGGUUUGCUGUUAGAAUCAAAAAGAUGUCCAUAAAAGUGUGGGAAAAUUGUAUCUUUUCCCUCUGAUUUUAUAGGCCCUGAAGCCAACCUCUGAAAGGUACGAGUGGCUCCUUUUUUAUUUAAGUUAAGCUCAGAUAUCUCAAUGACUUUUUAGUGAACUUUCCAGUCCCUGAGGGGAAUCAUGUCAUUAAGAUCAACACAAGUGAAUAGCAGAGUCUUGAUUCUUUGAGCAGAAGAAGCCUGAAGUGAAACUUCUCUUUUCUUACCCCUGAGUACCAUCACCCAGCUUGCCAGCAGAAAUAUUAUUGCCAAGGGAGACAAACUUGCCACAGGACAGCUACUGACACCAGGGACUUCAAAUUAAACCUAGAAGUCCCUCUGAACUAAAUCCAUGCUGGAGUGGGAAUAGCCUGAUUUUUUGGACAAAGGCUCAACUUUGCUUCUUUGUCCCCGCUUUUUGCUGGGGGCAUCUUACUUCUUUUCUUUUCUUGAGGAAUUUUUGUGGGAAAAGUGUCUGCUUAGCUGUUUCUUUCCAGAAGUAGGGUAACUCUGCUAAAGCAUCCUCCUGUCCUGUCUCCUUCUUAAUCUUCACAAAGAUGUCCAGGCAACCAAUCCCCAGGUACACACAUUCACCUGGGACCACUGCAUGGACCAGUACUUCAUUCUCCAAUGGCAGUAGUCAGUAAAUGUUCAUAUAAACCCAAUUAUUUUUCCUCUAAAUCAUCCAAAAUCCCCAGGUUCUAUUCACAAGCUUAAAAUUUCAUACCAUAAUUCAUUAUUUCUCCCAUGAGGAAAAAAAAAUACUGUUAUGUCGCAGUUCCUGUAAUUCCCAAUGACAAUUAUGACUAAGUCAGUGAUCCUCAUUAAAAAUACACAUUAAUAAAACCAGUGGGCAAACCAGGCUGUUGGCUUGCUCUGCCCAGAAGAAAAAAGAGA